AGUCUGUCAACUUGGGCGUGCAAACAACCAUCCUAAGAGCCUUUCUUGCUCUGAUAGGGAGAAAAAAAGGCUUCGGGGGCUACCAGAGGAGAAGAGGCCAUCACCUCGGACCAGCAGCAACACACUCUGAAGUAGGUCUCAGAAGACAAAAAGCUGAAAUCAACUCAUGCUUCCUGCUACACAGAAUCCACUGAGAGGAAAAGGAAACUUCACCGAAACUUCAGAAAGCUACAGAAAUGACAUCCAUUUUCACAAUCCCAGAAGGAAAGAUGCAUCUGAAGGGAAUAAAAACAGAGCAAUGGAAGAGUAUUUGUUAAAAUAAAUGGCUUUGACAGGG
This 337-nucleotide long non-coding RNA is filed under the name Homo sapiens (human). Its description in RNAcentral is "long intergenic non-protein coding RNA 2608". Lineage: Eukaryota; Metazoa; Chordata; Mammalia; Primates; Hominidae. The record is from RNAcentral.